Molecule: ribosomal RNA, 253 nt
Filed under: uncultured bacterium
Lineage: Bacteria
Description: partial 16S ribosomal RNA
Rfam family: Bacterial small subunit ribosomal RNA
Source: RNAcentral
UACAGAGGUCUCAAGCGUUGUUCGGAUUCAUUGGGCGUAAAGGGUGCGUAGGUGGCGCGGUAAGUCGGGUGUGAAAUUUCGGAGCUUAACUCCGAAACUGCAUUCGAUACUGCCGUGCUUGAGGACUGGAGAGGAGACUGGAAUUUACGGUGUAGCGGUGAAAUGCGUAGAUAUCGGAAGGAACAUCAGUGGCGAAAGCGACUUCCUGGACCAAUACUGACGCUCAUGUGCGAAAGCGUGGGGAGCAAACAGG